Molecule: unclassified non-coding RNA, 2532 nt
Filed under: Amphibalanus amphitrite
Lineage: Eukaryota; Metazoa; Arthropoda; Thecostraca; Balanomorpha; Balanidae
Description: atrial natriuretic peptide receptor 2-like, transcript variant X3
Source: RNAcentral
UGCCAGAACCGUGUUCCUGGUCAUCCAAUCUAUAAAGUCGGGCACAAUUUAACUGGUUUUAACAACAUUUUAGAAGGUGGGAUAGUCCCUUUAACUUGAAAUUGACUCUCUUGACAGAUGAAAGAUCUCCACCACGAUCAUCUGGUGCGGUUCAUCGGUAUGAGCAUCGAGUCGCCGCACCAGGCCAUCUUUACCGAGUACUGCCCCAAAGGCAGUCUGCAAGACAUCCUGGAGAACGAGCAGAUCAAGCUGGACUGGAUGUUCCGCUACAGUUUGAUGCAUGACAUUGUCAAGGGCAUGGCGUACCUGCACAGCAGUGAGAUCCGGGUCCACUCCAAACUCAAAUCGUCCAACUGCGUGGUCGACAGUCGAUUCGUGCUGAAAAUAACCGACUUUGGUCUGCAUCAGCUCGACACGGACGACGAAAACCAAAACCUCGACUCGUAUGUGUAUUGGAAACGACGAUUAUGGACGGCUCCUGAGCUCCUGCGAACCGCGCAGCCCAUGGGCCACAUCCGCGGCACGCAGAAGGGAGACGUCUACUCAUUCGCCAUCAUCGUUCAGGAGAUCAUCAUGCGCAUGGGACCGUUCUUUGUGCACAACGAGAUAUCGCCAAAAGAGAUCGUCGAGAACGUGCGGAACGGCCAGAAGCCGCCGUUCCGGCCGGCCAUCGACGACGACAUGGCCGACGAGGAGGUACUGCAGAUGAUGCGACGCUGCUGGUCGGAGGACCCCGUCGACCGUCCCGACUUCCACGCGCUCAAAGGCAUCAUCCGGCGACUGAACAAAGACAAUGAAAGCGGGAACAUUCUGGAUAACCUGCUCUCCCGGAUGGAACAGUACGCCAACAACCUGGAGGCCCUGGUGGAGGAGCGCACUGCGGACUACCUCGACGAGAAGAGAAAAUGCGAAGAGCUUCUCUACCAGCUGCUGCCAAAGUCGGUGGCCAGUCAGCUGAUUGCCGGGAAGUCGGUGGUGGCGGAACACUACGACAGCGUCACCAUCUACUUCAGCGACAUCGUGGGCUUCACGGCCAUCUCGGCAGAGUCGACCCCGAUGCAGGUGGUAGAUCUUCUAAACGACCUGUACACUUGUUUCGACUCAAUCAUAGAAAGCUAUGACGUCUACAAGGUUGAGACGAUCGGCGACGCCUACAUGGUGGUCUCGGGUCUGCCGGUGCGAAACGGCAUCAAGCACGCCGGAGAGAUUGCCGGCAUGUCCUUGGCCAUGCUGGAGGCAGUGCAGAGCUUCAAGAUCCGACACCGGCCCGGACAGCAGCUCAAGCUGCGCAUCGGUCUACACACGGGUCCCGUGGUGGCCGGUGUGGUAGGCCUCAAAAUGCCUCGCUACUGCCUCUUCGGGGACACCGUCAACACUUCAUCACGGAUGGAAUCCAACGGACUGCCACUGCGGAUACACGUGAGCUCCACCACCAAGGAGGCGCUCGACAAACUCGGCAUGUUCCAGCUGGACCUUCGCGGCGAGGUUGAAAUGAAGGGUAAGGGCAAGAUGGUCACCUACUGGCUCCGACACAAGGAACCCACAGCCACCGACUUGAUUGAUAUUGACGGCGUGGAUCUACGAGAAACAAAGGUGUGACACUCGCGCCGUGAGACGGCGGUGUGAUUCUCGCGUCGACAGACUCCGUGAGCGAGAGGGCACCGCGUGCCGCCGAGGGCACGUGCCGACAUGUUGGCACACGUCUAACCUGAUCUGGGGGCGCCCGGCGGACGGGCGAGCGUCCGGCGGAGUUAUGUGCGAGUCUGCGUGACCUGAUGCUGUCUUCGGCUCACUCCGGUGCGCUCUGUAGUUUCACAUCGUGAUCGAUUCUCAGUGCGACUGUGCGACGCCGCGCCCCCUUCACGCAAUGUUUCGAGACGCCUGGGAGGCACCUAGGGCGAAUGAUAUGAUGUGUUGCUCUCUUGUUGACGAUUCAUACCUUUAGCGUGUGUUGACUGGCUCGGCGUGUGUGACCGUUGUUUCGUUCAGCUGCGCCGCGGCGCAUCUGAGCGCUCCUUCCGAUGUGAUUCUCGUGACAGCUCGCUGGUCGCGGGUGCUGUCUGCGUCGUUAUUGUUCGCUGUUCAAGGGCCGGUUACCGGCAACACAGAACCAUUGUCACGCGCACAGAGACGCGGGCGAGCGUCUCGAGAGUGACGGACGGAGCUUCUGAAGCGGGUACCUAACCGAACAGGCGGCGGAGAGCGCGCGACUGUUGAAACUCCAGCCCGGCCGUCGGUGUCUGUGACGGGCCCUCGCUGUGCGUGACGGAAAUGUGACACUUGGUGAUGACGUCACGUGACGUGUCGUGACGCUGGUGAUGUGUUGCGCAGUGACGUCAUACGGCGUGGUGUGAUGUCCGCAGAGCGCGGCGGACGUCACAGGGUAACGCGCGCGUGUGUGAGAGCGAGCGAGUGCCAACUCACUGUGAGAGAAAACUGUCUGUCAUCAGUGUCUGGUUGAUAUGGGCACAAAGCAAGGCGCUGGAGUUUGUUUUAUACAUGGAGGUAGAUAAAUAUACAUACCUUGUCUUA